AACGAACGCUGGCGGCGUGCUUAACACAUGCAAGUCAAACGGUAAGGCCCUUCGGGGUACACGAGUGGCGAACGGGUGAGUAACACGUGGGUGAUCUGCCCUGCACUUCGGGAUAAGCCUGGGAAACUGGGUCUAAUACCGGAUAGGACCAUUGCCUGCAUGGGUGGUGGUGGAAAGCUUUUGCGGUGUGGGAUGGGCCCGCGGCCUAUCAGCUUGUUGGUGGGGUGAUGGCCUACCAAGGCGACGACGGGUAGCCGGCCUGAGAGGGUGACCGGCCACACUGGGACUGAGAUACGGCCCAGACUCCUACGGGAGGCAGCAGUGGGGAAUAUUGCACAAUGGGCGCAAGCCUGAUGCAGCGACGCCGCGUGAGGGAUGACGGCCUUCGGGUUGUAAACCUCUUUCAGCAUCGACGAAGCGCAAGUGACGGUAGGUGCAGAAGAAGGACCGGCCAACUACGUGCCAGCCGCCGCCGUAA
This 478-nucleotide ribosomal RNA is filed under the name uncultured bacterium. Its description in RNAcentral is "partial 16S ribosomal RNA". It matches the Rfam family "Bacterial small subunit ribosomal RNA", at positions 28 to 523 of the family's 1533-position model. The record is from RNAcentral.